AGGAAAAGAAACUAACAAGGAUUCCCCUAGUAACGGCGAGUGAAGCGGGAAGAGCUCAAAUUUGAAAUCUGGCAGUCUUCGAUUGUCCGAGUUGUAAUCUAUAGAGGCGUUUUCCGUGCCGGACCGUGUCCAAGUCUCCUGGAAAGGAGUAUCAAAGAGGGUGAUAAUCCCGUACUUAACACGACCACCGGUGCUCUGUGAUACGUCUUCUACGAGUCGAGUUGUUUGGGAAUGCAGCUCAAAAUGGGUGGUGAAUUCCAUCUAAAGCUAAAUAUUGGCGAGAGACCGAUAGCGAACAAGUACCGUGAGGGAAAGAUGAAAAGCACUUUGGAAAGAGAGUUAAACAGUACGUGAAAUUGUUGAAAGGGAAACGAUUGAAGUCAGUCGUGUUCUUUGGAUUCAGCCAGUUCUGCUGGUCUACUUCCUUUGAACGGGUCAACAUCAGUUUUGUCCGGUGGAUAAAGGCAGUAGGAAUGUAGCUUCUCCGGAAGUGUUAUAGCCUAUUGUCACAUACACUGGGUGAGACUGAGGACUGCAGCUCGCCUUUAUGGCCGACCUUCGGGUACGUUCGAGCUUAGGAUGUUGACAUAAUGGCUUUAAACGACCCGUCUU
RNAcentral lists this ribosomal RNA (612 nucleotides) under Trichosporon coremiiforme. RNAcentral's name for it is "partial large subunit ribosomal RNA". It matches the Rfam family "Eukaryotic large subunit ribosomal RNA", at positions 54 to 655 of the family's 3401-position model. Lineage: Eukaryota; Fungi; Basidiomycota; Tremellomycetes; Trichosporonales; Trichosporonaceae. The record is from RNAcentral.